AUCAACUGGCUACUGUGCCAGCUGGUGGAUAGCUCGGCUCGAGAGCCGAUGACGGACGUGCCAAGCUGCGAAAAGCUUCAGGGACCCGCAUGGAGGGUAAGAACUGAAGAUCUCCGAAUGGGAAUCCCCACGCAAUUGCCUCGCGCAAUGGGGAACGUUCCGAAUUGAAACAUCUUAGUAGGAACAGGAAAAGAAAGCAAUCCGCGAUGUCGUUAGUAACGGCGAGUGAACGCGAUACAGUCCAAACCGAAGCCUUCGGGCAAUGUGGUGUACGGACUACCCAUAACGGACCUGGAUCAUACGUGAAGUCUCCUGGAACGGAGCGUGAUACAGGGUGAAAACCCCGUAACGUAUGAACCAGAUCCCGGGGUUGUUCCAGAAUAGCGGGGGUUGGAUAUCCCUCGUGAAUCUCGCAGGCAUCAACUGCGAAGACUAAACACUCCUCGAGACCGAUAGCGAACAAGUAGCGUGAGCGAACGCUGAAAAGCACCCCGAAAAGGGCGGUGCAAUAGGGCUUGAAAUCAGUUGGCGAUAGAGCGACGUGGCAUACAAGGUCACUCGACGAAUGAACUGGGAGCGAUCCCGUAGUAAGACUUGAGUGAAGCCGAUGUUGCGUCGUGCGUUUUGAAAAACGAACCAUGGAGUGCAUCUGACUGGCGAGUCUAAGGGGUGAACCCCCGGAGGCAUAGGGAAACCGAUACGGCCGCAGUCUUUGACCAGGGCCACCGUCUUCAAGGGCGGGGAGCCAACCGGAUGCGACCCGAAACCAAGUGAUCUACGCCGGAGCAGGGCGAAGCG
Molecule: ribosomal RNA, 798 nt
Filed under: Haloferax sp. S2CR25
Lineage: Archaea; Methanobacteriati; Methanobacteriota; Halobacteria; Halobacteriales; Haloferacaceae
Also listed under: 1 other name
Description: partial 23S ribosomal RNA
Rfam family: Archaeal large subunit ribosomal RNA
Source: RNAcentral